GAUCCAUGGUCGGCCCAAAAGCAGGUUAAAGGAUGUAGGAAUCCUCAAAACCUGGAAUACAGCGACAAAAGUGGCUGGACCGAUCAGCAGCUCGAUCUCCAAUGUACCCAUGACCUCCCUCCGAGUACUGUCAUAUGCGCGAACGGUCUGAGUAGAGGGACCAAAAUCAGAAGGAGCGUAUCCAAGGGCGAUGGCAGUGGCAAGAGGACAUACGUUCAGGGCCGAGCCAUUGUCCAAAAGGACAGAUGGGACUCGGCGGCCUGAACAACCAACAGAUAUGUAGAGCGGGCGAGUGUGGUCUG
This 302-nucleotide long non-coding RNA is filed under the name Vitis vinifera (wine grape). Its description in RNAcentral is "long non-coding RNA (VVIN_LNC003799)". Lineage: Eukaryota; Viridiplantae; Streptophyta; Magnoliopsida; Vitales; Vitaceae. The record is from RNAcentral.